RNAcentral lists this ribosomal RNA (775 nucleotides) under uncultured Neocallimastigales. RNAcentral's name for it is "partial large subunit ribosomal RNA". It matches the Rfam family "Eukaryotic large subunit ribosomal RNA", at positions 24 to 635 of the family's 3401-position model. Lineage: Eukaryota; Fungi; Neocallimastigomycota; Neocallimastigomycetes; Neocallimastigales. The record is from RNAcentral.
UAUCUCUGUAGAGUCUGCAUAUCAAUAAGCGGAGGAAAAGAAACUAACAAGGAUUCCCUUAGUAACGGCGAGUGAAGCGGGAAGAGCUCAAAUUUGAAAUCUUCAAGGUUUUACCUUGACGAAUUGUAGUUUAAAGAAGUGUUUUCUGUUGGAGUUUUGGUAAAAGUUCUUUGGAAUAGGACAUCAUAGAGGGUGAGAAUCCCGUAUUUGACCAUUAUUUCCAGCUUUGUGAUACACUUUCAAAGAGUCGGAUUGUUUGGGAAUGCAGUCCAAAAUGGGUGGUAAAUUUCAUCUAAAGCUAAAUAUUGGCGAGAGACCGAUAGCGAACAAGUACCGUGAGGGAAAGAUGAAAAGAACUUUGAAAAGAGAGUUAAACAGUACGUGAAAUUGUCAAAAGGGAAGCGUUUGACACCAGUGUUGUUUUCUCGAAAAUCAAUUAAAAAAGGCAGGAUUUUGUGUUGUAUUGACUUUAUCAGCUUUCUGCACUCUUUUCUUGUCUUUUUUAAUGCACUUUUCGUUUAACAAGUCAACAUCAAUUUCCUUUGUUGUAAAAGGGUCAUUGGAAGGUGGCUUUCACUUCGGUGAAAGUGUUUAUAGCCUUUGGCUUCUGCAAUCGGAGAGAUUGAGGUCUGCAGCGUAGAUCCUUCGGGGCUAGAUACGUAGAUGCUAAGUUAUAGUUUUUUAUAGACAACUUGUUGACUAUAAUUAAUCAGUGUAGCUUACUCGUUUGCGCUAUUUUACCUACGCUUAGGAUGUUGAAGAUGUAGCACAUCAU